AGAGACGGAGGAUCACUUAGCAAUUACUACAAACUUAGAAGACGAAAUUGAUAAAAAUUGAGAGUCUAGGUAUCAAAAUAAAAACUGUCGUCUAAAAUGAACUUUUAAUCUAAUUGCAAUGUGUUCCCACUUAAGCACUUAUAAAUGCUUCUCCCACGUCGCCAGGAAUUUAAUACCGCGAAUGAUAGCUGAAACCUCUACAGAAAGUUGAAGUUCUCAUAAAGCUUUGCUCAAGUUCCAUUCUCUUCAAUCUCGGAAAAAAAAAAAAAAAAAAAAAAAAAACCGUUCUCUUUUUUUUCCUAAAAACAGAAAAAAAAAAAAAAAAAAAAAAAAUUCCAUUCUCUUUUAGUACUCCGUUUUCCAUAAACAAGCUAUAGGUUGUGAGUUUCUAAUGGCUUCCUUCGGCGCUCAAAAGGCUUGUACAUCCUUGUCCUCAUCAUCUUCUUCUAUGUCUCAAUGGAAAUACGAAGUUUUUCUCAGUUUUUAUGGUGAGGACACCCGGAAGAAUUUUACAGAUCAUCUAUAUGCUACUUUGAUACGGAAAGGCAUUAAUGUUUAUAGAGAUAAUGAAAAUCUCAAGCAAGGAAAACCUAUUGCUUCAGGCCUCAUGAAAGCGAUAGAAGAAUCUCAAUAUGCAAUUAUUAUUCUCUCAAAAAACUAUGCUUUAUCAAAGUGGUGUUUGAAUGAACUUGUCAAAAUUCUUGAAUGCAUGAAAGAGAAGGGUCUGAAAGUUCGACCUAUUUUCUACCAUGUAAAUCCCUCUGAUGUUGGGAAUCAGAGGGAGAGUUUUGAGAAAGCAUUUCUCAAGCAUGAAGAAGAUCGCAAGGUUGGCAAAGAACAGAUAAAAGAGUGGAGAUCUGCACUGAAAGAAGUGAGCAAGAUCCGCGGGAGGCAUUUAGUGGAUAGUCCGGAAUCAGAAGAUAUUGAGGAAAUCACAAAAAGCAUAUUUGAUGAAUUGAAUUGUGAAUUAUCAGAUGAUUCUGAGCACCUUGUUGGAAUAGACUCACAUGUGAAGGAAAUGAUGAACUUAUUUAGUACAAUGUCAGAUGAUGUGUACUUCAUAGGGAUUUGGGGGAUGCCUGGGAUUGGUAAAACCACUCUAGCACUUGCCAUUUACAACAGAAUUCGUCAUCAAUUUGAAGCUAGCAGCUUUAUUUAUGACAUUAGAGAAAAAGAUGAAAAAAUGGGUCGAGAACAUUUACAAAAACAGCUUCUUUAUGAGGCACUGAGGGUAAAGGAAGACAUUUGGGACCCUCGUAUAGGGAUCAAUGUCAUAAAGAAGAGACUACUAAAUAAGAAGGUUCUUAUUGUUCUUGACGAUGUUGACAAAGAUGAACAGCUAGAGGCAUUAGCAGGGGAGCCUAACUGGUUUGGUCGAGGGAGUAUGAUCAUUAUCACAAGUAAAGAUAAGCACUUGCUAAAGAGGCAUCACCUGGGUACUACUAUACAUAAGGUACGUGGAUUAGAUAAUGAUGAAGCUUUGGAGCUCUUCAGUUGGUAUGUGUUUAAACAAACCUAUCCUAAAAAAGAUUUUGAGGAUUUGUCCAAUGGUUUUGUGAAGUACGCUAAAGGGCUUCCUAUAGCUCUUAAAGUUUUGGGUUCCUCCUUGAUUGAUAGACCAAGAGAGGUAUGGGAAGAUCACCUGCAUCAAUUAGAAGAAAUCCUUGAAGGAGAAACUCUUGAAGGGGAAAUUCCUGAAGAAAAAAUUCUUGAUAAACUUGAAAUAAGUUAUAGGGGAUUGACUAAAGCAGAGAAAGAUCUAUUUUUGGAUAUAGCGUGUUUCUUCAAAGGGGAGGAUAAAAAUCGAGUAGCGCAUAUAGAAGGUUCUGGUUGCAAGAAGAAUGUAGAAACUCUCAAGGACAAAUCUCUCAUUGCCAUUUUAGGGGGAAAAUUACAUAUGCAUGAUUUAAUACAACAGAUGGGUUGGAGAAUUGUUAGUCGUGAAUCACCUCAAGAGUGUGGAAGACGCAGUAGGUUGUGGCUUUGUAAGAAUGUGUUUCAUGUGCUAAAGAAAAAUACUGGAACAGAAUUUGUUAAAGGCAUAGUUCUUGAUUUCCGGGGAAAAGAAGUUCGACGUAAAGAAAACUUGAAUGACAAAGCCUUCUCAAAUAUGGAAAGUCUAAGGUUGCUUAAAAUUUCUAAUGUGCACCUUCCAAAAGGGCUUGAUUUUCUUUCUAAUGAGUUAAGAAUGAUGGAAUGGCAUGAUUAUCCUUUGAAAUCAAUGCCAGUCGAUUUUCAACCAGACAAUCUUGUUGAACUCAUCAUGCCACGCAGCCACAUUGAGCAAUUACCAGAGGGACUUACCAACUUGGCCAAGUUAAGACUCCUGGAUCUUAGCGACUCUAAAGUCUUAGUCAAGACUCCUAACUUCAUCGGAUGCCCAAAUCUGGAGAGGCUGAUUUUUCAGGGAUGUACAAGUUUGUAUGAGCUUCACCCAUCUAUCGGAGCUCUCAAUAAGCUUACUUUGUUGAAUCUGAAAGAUUGCAGAAGUCUUACUAGCCUCCCUUGUGAAAUAAACUUCAAAUCUCUUGAAAUUUUUAUUCUAUCUGGCUGUUCAAGUCUCAAGAAGUUUUCAGAGAUUGGAACAAAUAUGACAAGCUUGUCAGAGCUGUAUUUAGAUGGGACUGCUGUGGAAGAAUUGCCAUCAUCACUCAAUCGUUUGACUGGCUUGACGGUCUUGAGUCUUCAAGGUUGCAAAAACAUUUCAAGUUUCCCAAUUGUCAAUUUGCCGUCUCUGAAAACUCUCAAUCUAUCUGACCGGAUUGUCCCUAAAUCCGGGCUUUUGCACGGAUACUCCCUCGCCCAUACUGUAAAUGAUUUUUUCAAAGGUUGCUUCCCUAUCCGAGAGGUCAGCAACCUGUUGUUGCCUUGGUUAAGAUUUAAUGUCUCUCUCAAUCUAUCUGACCGCAAUUUAUGGGACGGUGGACUCCCCGAUGAUCUUAGUUGCUUAUCCUCGUUGCAGACAUUAGAUUUGAGCAAAAACAACUUUACACGCCUGCCUGAUAGUAUUUCUCAGCUUUCUAAGCUUAAAUCUCUUAAAUUGAAUGAUUGUAGCAGGCUUCAAUCAUUACCAGACCUUCCAUUAAGUAUAGAAAUUGUAGAUGCACGAAGAUGUCCUUUGUUGGAAAAGUAUUCAAAUCAGUAUGUCACAUGGACUUCGGGUGAGACAGGGUGCACUAUGGUUGUUUAUGAUGACCACAGUGAACACCGCAUGCCGAGCUUACCAUCCUAUGAAAGAGUUGUGGAGGAUGCAAUUCUUCGAAAUAGUAUCUUCUGGGUGUUGUUAUGUUCAACUGAAACUCCAGAGUGGUUCAUCCAUCAGAGCCCUGGGUCAUCUUUAGCAAUUCCGCUACCUUCUAAUCUGUGUGGUGAUAGAAAUUGGAUAGGGAUCGCUUUGUUUACUAGUGUUGUAAUCCAUGAAAAUUUGAACAUUGUUUCUUCUGGUCAGGAUGAUGAAGUUUCUGUUGACUUUAUUUGUAGAUCAGACAUAAUUGAAUGUCCAUGUACAAAUUUUCCCGUAGUCUUUAACAUCUCCAAAUACCUACCUAUACCCGUACAACAUACGAGUUCAUAUGGGGUGAAGGUACUUAUUCCAGCCUGGAAACUUAGAGACCAUUUAGAGGAUUGCAAUUGCAUUAGGGCUUUUAUUAGGAGCGAGUGCGCUUAUAUCAAGAUCGAAAAGUGUGGUGCGCGUGUACUAUACAAGCAAGAUUUGGGAAAGUUUCUAGAAGCUAGUGGCGAGAUGAAGCAAGGAUCCAAAUGCGACCUUGAUAAGGUGGAAUCUUCUAGACUGUGUCAGGACCUAAUUCAUCAAAAUGAAAACUAUAUAGAGUUUUCAAGUUCAACUGAAAUUCCAGAGUGGUUCAGCCAUCAGAACCUUGGGUCAUCUAUAACAUUGCCACUACCUCUGGAUCUGCAUGAUAAUAAUAGUUGGAUAGGGAUUGCUCUGUUUAUUGUUUUUAUAGUCCAUAAAAAAUUGAACAGAAAAGAUUAUAAAUUUUUUGUCAAAUUUACUUGUAUAUCAGACAUGGUUAAAGGUCUUGUAGAUAGACAUCUCUUGAGCGUCGUUGACAUAGUUGGAUUCGAACAUGAACGCUAUCGCCUCAAUGUUUCAUGUAGUAUUAAAUUACUUAUUCAUGCUGGGCAACUUAGAGACUAUCUAAAGGAACGCAGUUGGAUUAGAACUUUGAUUAUGAGUGAGAGCCCUUAUGUCCAGAUCAAGAUGUGUGGUGCCCGUCUAGUUUACAUGCAAGAUCUGGAAAAGUUUGUACAAGCUAAAGACAAGAUCAAGCGAAGAUCCAAAUGCCAGAUGGAUAAGGUGGAAUCUAAUCAGUCCAAUGACCGGCUUAAAGCAAAGCUAAUGUCAUUGCUUUUAAGAGUGUAUCAGGGUGACUUGGCUCGAAACCAUAAAUAUGAUUAUGUCUUUCCUCAUACGAAAGUUCCAGACUGGUUCAGUCAUCGAAGUUUUUGUUCGGACAUAAGAGUUAAAUUGCCCAACAAUUUGCAUCAUGAAGGGGGAUGGAUGGGAAUCGCUGUGUGUGCUUAUUAUACUGUCCACAAGCAAUCAGCAAUAUCUGGUGACAAUAAGGAUUUAGCAAGUUUUCUCAACUUUUAUAAUCCUUUAGUUAGUCAUCGAGUUUGCCUCACUUAUCACAGGGUCUUUCAGGAAUCUAAAGACAUUUAUGUCGAGUCACCCCAUCGACUUUUGGUAUUUUAUAUCCCACACGUGUUUCUUCGGCUGGAAGAGUGUCGACAUAUCGGUGCUUCAUUUGAACACAAUAAAGCAGAUGUGUGGGUUAAAGGGUGUGGACUCCGCUUUGUAUACGAGCAAGAUGUUGAAAAGUUUGUGCAAACAUUAGCCCAGUGCAUGUUAGAAAGUCCAGAUGCCUAUCAUGAGUGUUUUUAUCAAAAUUUGUUACAUCAAGUUGAGGAAAGGGAAGCAAGCAAAGAUUUUGGUUUCUCUUCCUCACUGCAAAGGAUGCCUCAACCCAUGCCCAUCCUUCAACGAAGUAUUGAAAAUAUAGCAGAGGGUUGUACCUCUUCGGAAACAAUUCUGAGCUGUUUUACUGGUUUUCUCACAAUAGCUAGGAAAGAGCAAUAUGCAAGUAUUAUGUCAAGUGAAUCUUUGAUCAAAGCACGUUUAGAGAAAAACUUUGAUGAGGGUGAAAUCUUCAAUUGCUGUUUUGCUGAGCGUGAAAUCCCACUGUGGUUUUGUUACGAAUAUAAGAAGUCAAUGGAAUUCCCGCUAUCUCCAGAAUUUGUUAAUGAUCCUGAUUGGAUGGGAUUUGCACUAUGUGGUCUUUUCUUAUUUAGAAUGCAUCCAACUGCUGUUCGUCAGAGUCUGAAUUCAAAUGAAAAUGAAAUGCUCCCAUUCUGUUGUGUUUUGCAGACCAGCUCUUGUUAUUGGGGUUUAGUAUGCGAUGGAUUAUUGACUACAGACAACGAAUUAGUUACGUUAAAUCAACGUGCAUUCAUUUGGGUAAUGUUCAUCCCACGUACAACGCAUGGACAUUUAUGGAGUCAAAACGCUUGGGCUGAAUUCCAGCUUAAAACCAAAACGCCAGAUUUGUACGCACAGAGUUUUGGGAUGAAAGUUGUAUAUAGGCAUAACAUGGAAAAGUUAACACAAAUACUGGUGCAAUGCUCUGCCCCAUUUGAUAGCUUCCUUGACUCCUUCAGUCCCCAGAGGUUCUGCCGUGUAUGGGAUAAUAAUCCUGAGCUCUUCUUUGGAAGAAAGAACUGUUAUGAGUACCUGCACCCCCAAAGGUUAUUCAUUUCUCAGGAGGAGACUAAUGUAACUGCUCAAUAUUCUUACGAGGAGGACUCAUACCCUCACAAUCGUUUCCGGUACUUUCAUCCAUCCACUUUAUAUAAUUCUUGUUUCCCAACAAGAAGAACUCCAAGGUGGUUUGAUCAUCAUUGUCGUUUUGGGCACUCGGUGACAAUUGAGAUACCCUCAAAUUUGUACGAAGACAACAAUUGGUUGGGGCUUGCCCUAUAUGCUUCUAUUUUAAUCCCCAGGGGUCAAGUUUCAGCAAAUUCAUCCCACUUUCUAUAUUGUCAAUUCCAAACGAGUAAAGCUAGUCUAGACAAUCAAAUCCUUGUUUGCCGCACCACUGAUGAAGAGGACAACUGGUUACAUCAAUUAUUUGGACUCAUUUGGAUAUCCUACAUACCUGGUGAUGCCUUGAACGAUAUGCUGUAUCAAUGUGGCCACAUUAAGGCUUCGUUUGUUAGUGAUCGGCCAAGCGUGAUGGUGCAAAAAUGUGGGCUUCGUCUCUUGUACCAGCAUGAUCUGUCACAGUUUGAGCAACAACUAAAACAUUGCAAUGCUUACAUUUCUGCACAUCGGGAUGCCAAAUGUGAACUUAGCCGUGCUGGCGGGAGACAAAUGAAAAUACGUCGGCAUAUUCCUAACGAAGUUGUAUCUCCGCUCAAUAAAUAUGACCAGCAGGGUGGGCACUCUGAAUAUUCAUUUUGUUUCCCCCCAGUGGAAAUUUUACAUUAUUUCUACUACCAGAGUAAUGGGCCCUCAGUGAAAAUUGAUAUAUCCAAUUAUUUUUUCAAUGACAACAAGUGGAUCGGACUUAUUUUAUGUGCUUAUUUUUCAAGCGAUAGGCAUCAAGCUGCAAUUAUUGAAAAUCCCAAUUCAUCGAUUUCUCACCACCUUAUUUGUGUUUUGGAAACGGACCUAGCUGAUCCAGAGCCAGAAAUCCAUGUCCAUCGCACCUUUAAAACAGAAUUUACGUGGCUAGAUAUUGAGGGUGGAUUUCUUUGGCUGUGCUAUAUUCCAUGUUGUCCACUUCUAGAUGAGUUCAGUUGUAUCAAGGCUUCAAUUAUAAGUGACUGGCCAGGUAUCAUUGUGCAAAAAUGUGGGCUUAGUUUCUACCAUAUGGGUGAUAAUUGGUUUGAGAAAAUAGUAGAUCAUUGCUUUGGAGAAAAGCAACAUUGGCAUCAAGGUUUGAACGAUCAAUUAACAGCUCGUCAUAAAGUGAAAAUUAGUAGAGCUAAGAAUCAACUCUCCCAAAGCCACUUGCCGGGCUUUGAUGGAUCCUGUGACUAUAAUUCUUGUUGCCCUCCAAUUGAAAUUCCGCAUUGGUUCCUCAUUCAAAGUGACGAGUCCCACGUGACAUUCAGACUAACUCGAGUAUUACAUAAUAGAAGUACUUGGCUGGGAGUUGCUCUAUGUGCAGUUUUUUUAGUUACAGAGGAUGUGGCUAGUCUCAAUGACAUAAUGGAUUCAAUAUCUUCUUACAAACUUAUUUGUCACUUGGAAGCAAGUAAUGGGCCUAAUGAUCUGAGUGUGAAACCUCGCCAUAUCUAUUGGCCAACUAAAGAAGAUUUCAUGAUGUCACUAUUGGGUGGAUUCACUUGGCUGACCUAUAUACCACGUGGGUCGUUUCCUGAUUGGCUAUAUGAUUGUGACUACAUUGAGGUUUCAUUUGAGACAAAUUGCUCUUACUUGAAGGUGCUGAAUUGUGGCCUUCGUCUGUUGUACCAGGAUUCGGUGGAAGAGUUCAAGAACUGCGUGAAGAAGAACUGCAUGGAGUCCGAGUCUGAUUUUUUGGGCAUCCAUGAUCAAAAGAAGACUGAGAAUAUAAAUAAAAAAAUGUGGUCUUGGAUUCAGAAUGAACUCUACAAAAAUGACCCAUUGGGCUUUGAUCGAUGCAUUUUAUGUAAUCCCCGUUUGCCUCCAAGUGAAAUUUUGGACUGGUUCAGUAGACUGAGCGAUGAGCCCUGGGUGACAAUCGAUCUACCUCCAAAUUUGUACAGUGAUAGUUCUUGGAUGGGUUUGGUUCUAUGCGCUUAUUUUGCUAUAGAUGUGAAUUCAAUUGUCCACUUUGACAUUCUGGAUUCAGAUACUAGUCCUACCCUUAUUUGUCAUUUGGAAACCAAUGUUGGUCAUGUGAGAUCUCCUCAUGGUUAUAGCCUGACUGAAGAAAAUCUCGUGAUGCUACAGCAAGGUGGAUGCAUUUUGCUAUCCUAUAGAGGGCGAAAUUGUUUGAAUCAAGCCAACUGCGUUAAGGCUUCAUUUACAACUGACUGCCCAGGUUUGAAGGUGGAGAUAUGUGGCCUUCGUCUCUUGAACCAUUAUGAGUUGGAAGAGUUUGAGCAGACAAUAUUAAGCCAUAGCAUGAACUCCAGCUCGUCUGAUGAUUGGGAUCUCAUCCAUCAAUUGCCCACUGAAGAUGGAAAUAGGGAUACGCAAAAGCAUGAUUAUGGUGAAGGAACCUCCAGCUCUAGGAAGGAGUCUAAUUUUGGAAGCCUGAGGAGACCCAUUGAUCCAAAAGACAAGGGCAAGCGAGUUCUGGAAGAAUAAUCUCUCUCAUGGGGCUCUUCCUUCUGAACUUAUUGAAUGCUAGAGAGGAAAUUUUCUAUAAGCUGAUAUUGAGCAUUUCCCACUGCAAUCAGGAGUACUUGUCCACCCUGUCUUGAUUUUCCCAAUUCAUGUGAAGGGGGCUGCUAGUAGCUUGAUGGUGCUGGUGAACUGGUUUAGUGCUUAGGUAGUUUCCUUUACAUUCAACUUUCUAAUGAAAUGGAGUUCCUCAUACUUUUUUCAUCUACCCUGCAUAGAAUCCUAGAGGGAGAGAUGGCUACAAAUAAUUGAACCGACCAUUGGAUUUUAUUUUGGCUCAAGUAUCAUCUUCAUUUGGUGCUGAGAAUUCAAGUUUAAAUAUGGCAAGAAGACUUUAAACCAUAUGUUUUAUUAACAAAUUCUUUGGGCCCCAAGUAGAUUAGAUUUAUGGGCAAAAGAAGGAAGAGGAAAUGAAAAUUAUUUAUGGGUUGGACAAUAGACAGCAGAGACAAUUUUCAACAAGCAUAAAUAUGUAUGCUUGGCUCGUGUAAAAGAACACAGGGAUUACUAUUUCUAUCCCAUUUUUGUAGAGUUUUCUGUUAUACUUCCGUAUUGCAAACCAGAAAUAAAUUUUUUAAUCUAGGUUAUUUCUAAA
RNA transcript from Quercus robur (English oak), 8951 nucleotides. RefSeq lists it as uncharacterized. The transcript is spliced from 16 exons. Lineage: Eukaryota; Viridiplantae; Streptophyta; Magnoliopsida; Fagales; Fagaceae. The record is from RefSeq and is a predicted model, not a curated record.